This 429-nucleotide ribosomal RNA is filed under the name Actinomycetes bacterium. Its description in RNAcentral is "Actinobacteria bacterium partial 16S ribosomal RNA". It matches the Rfam family "Bacterial small subunit ribosomal RNA", at positions 355 to 776 of the family's 1533-position model. The record is from RNAcentral. Lineage: Bacteria; Bacillati; Actinomycetota; Actinomycetes.
UAGGGAAUCUUCCGCAAUGGGCGAAAGCCUGACGGAGCAACGCCGCGUGAGUGAUGAAGGUCUUCGGAUCGUAAAACUCUGUUAUUAGGGAAGAACAAAUGUGUAAGUAACUAUGCACGUCUUGACGGUACCUAAUCAGAAAGCCACGGCUAACUACGUGCCAGCAGCCGCGGUAAUACGUAGGUGGCAAGCGUUAUCCGGAAUUAUUGGGCGUAAAGCGCGCGUAGGCGGUUUUUUAAGUCUGAUGUGAAAGCCCACGGCUCAACCGUGGAGGGUCAUUGGAAACUGGAAAACUUGAGUGCAGAAGAGGAAAGUGGAAUUCCAUGUGUAGCGGUGAAAUGCGCAGAGAUAUGAGGGAACACCAGUGGCGAAGGCGACUUUCUGGUCUGUAACUGACGCUGAUGUGCGAAAGCGUGGGGAUCAAACAGG